This is a long non-coding RNA of Papilio machaon (common yellow swallowtail), 383 nucleotides long. RefSeq lists it as uncharacterized. The transcript is spliced from 3 exons. The record is from RefSeq and is a predicted model, not a curated record. Lineage: Eukaryota; Metazoa; Arthropoda; Insecta; Lepidoptera; Papilionidae.
GUCACUUUGACAUUUCUUACUGCAAGACAAGAAUUUCAGGCUAGGUUUAGGAUUCAGAUUUGAUGGUUGUGAUUAAGGCAUUGCAAAAAUCUCAGUGAAUAAACCUCAAACUCAAACCUUUCAAGUUAAAUUGUGCAUUUUAAAGUAUUACAACUAUUUCAAACGCUCGUAGAAAGCUGUUUAGUUUACGUGGGCGGUGUUUAGUUAACAUUUCGUAUUAUCUCAGUUUUAUUGAGAGCAAAAACUAAAAGAACACCGCGUUUUGUGCAUUUGACUAGUAGUCAGAAAUAGUGAGAUAUGGCUUGCUAGUUGUGAACUGCUUUCAAAUAUAUUGUAUGUUAGAUGAUGGUGUUAAUUUGAAGAAACAAGUCGUCGGUGCGCGG